GACGAACGCUGGCGGCGCGCUUAACACAUGCAAGUCGAACGGAAAGGCCUGCUUUCCCUUGUGGAUUGCGGGUACUCGAGUGGCGAACGGGUGAGUAACACGUGAGUGAUCUGCCCCCAACUUGGGUAUAAGCCUGGGAAACUGGGUCUAAUUCCCGAUAGGACUGCAGGGUGGUGCCUGUGGUGGAAAACGAUUUUCUAGUGGUUGGGGAUGAGCUCGCGGCCUAUCAGCUUGUUGGUGGGGUAAUGGCCUAGCAAGGCGGCGACGGGUAGCCGGCCUGAGAGGGUGGACGGCCACAUUGGGACUGAGAUACGGCCCAGACUCCUACGGGAGGCAGCAGUGGGGAAUAUUGCACAAUGGGCGGAAGCCUGAUGCAGCGACGCCGCGUGGGGGAUGACGGCCUUCGGGUUGUAAACUCCUUUCGACCGCGAGGAAGCCACCUGGUUGGAAGGGUGGUGACGGUAGUGGUAGAAGAAGCACCGGCUAACUACGUG
This 494-nucleotide ribosomal RNA is filed under the name uncultured bacterium. Its description in RNAcentral is "partial 16S ribosomal RNA". It matches the Rfam family "Bacterial small subunit ribosomal RNA", at positions 28 to 507 of the family's 1533-position model. The record is from RNAcentral.